UACAGAGGGUGCAAGCGUUAAUCGGAAUUAUUGGGCGUAAAGAGCACGUAGGCGGAUUAGAAAGUUGGAUGUGAAAGCCCCGGGCUCAACCUGGGAACUGCAUUCAAAACUACUAGUCUAGAGUAUAGGAGAGGAAAGCGGAAUUUCCGGUGUAGCAGUGAAAUGCGUAGAUAUCGGAAGGAACAUCAGUGGCGAAGGCGGCUUUCUGGCCUAAUACUGACGCUGAGGUGCGAAAGCGUGGGGAGCAAACAGG
Molecule: ribosomal RNA, 253 nt
Filed under: uncultured bacterium
Lineage: Bacteria
Description: partial 16S ribosomal RNA
Rfam family: Bacterial small subunit ribosomal RNA
Source: RNAcentral